AGGCUUAACACAUGCAAGUCGAGCGGGCGUAGCAAUACGUCAGCGGCAGACGGGUGAGUAACGCGUGGGAACAUACCUUUUGGUUCGGAACAACACAGGGAAACUUGUGCUAAUACCGGAUAAGCCCUUACGGGGAAAGAUUUAUCGCCGAAAGAUUGGCCCGCGUCUGAUUAGCUAGUUGGUAGGGUAAUGGCCUACCAAGGCGACGAUCAGUAGCUGGUCUGAGAGGAUGAUCAGCCACAUUGGGACUGAGACACGGCCCAAACUCCUACGGGAGGCAGCAGUGGGGAAUAUUGGACAAUGGGGGCAACCCUGAUCCAGCCAUGCCGCGUGAGUGAUGAAGGCCCUAGGGUUGUAAAGCUCUUUUGUGCGGGAAGAUAAUGACGGUACAGCAAGAAUA
RNAcentral lists this ribosomal RNA (400 nucleotides) under bacterium Ellin5107. Its description in RNAcentral is "bacterial SSU rRNA". It matches the Rfam family "Bacterial small subunit ribosomal RNA", at positions 44 to 488 of the family's 1533-position model. Lineage: Bacteria; Pseudomonadati; Pseudomonadota; Alphaproteobacteria; Hyphomicrobiales; Nitrobacteraceae. The record is from RNAcentral.